CCUUGAACACCUCUUUGCUUUGUCAACAUCUACUCCAAUUUUCAGUUUUUCCUCCAUGUUGUCUAGCUCUCAUCUACCUUCUAUUCCAAGUGAUUAAUUUCAUGUUUUUUCUCUUUUUCUUAGCAAAUAUGUUUUGCUUCCAUUUUCAAUUCAAAUUGUUUAUUUAAGAUUUCCAAAGCAACUAGCUGGUCAUCAAGCAUCAUUUGGAUCUCCACUAGGACUAGGGCAAAACUCUCGAACGAGACCCGAACAGAACUGAGCAGUUCUUCUUAAAUUAAAUACUUGAACCCAUAUCUGAAUCGAGAAUCGAAGGAUUCGAU
RNAcentral lists this long non-coding RNA (320 nucleotides) under Olea europaea subsp. europaea. Lineage: Eukaryota; Viridiplantae; Streptophyta; Magnoliopsida; Lamiales; Oleaceae. The record is from RNAcentral.